This 167-nucleotide non-coding RNA is filed under the name Streptomyces coelicolor. Lineage: Bacteria; Bacillati; Actinomycetota; Actinomycetes; Kitasatosporales; Streptomycetaceae. The record is from RNAcentral.
AAGAGGGAACCCGGUGGGAAUCCGGGACUGUCCCGCAGCGGUGAGUGGGAACGAAAGCCGUCAACAGCACUGGGCCCCAGAUGAGUUGGAGCCCGGGAAGCGACGGCCGGUAGGUGCCCGCCGGUGAUCCGUGUCCCCGGUGAGCGCGCCCACGAGUCCGAAGACCU